ACACAUGCAAGUCGAGCGGUAGCACAGAGAGCUUGCUCUCGGGUGACGAGCGGCGGACGGGUGAGUAAUGUCUGGGAAACUGCCUGAUGGAGGGGGAUAACUACUGGAAACGGUAGCUAAUACCGCAUAACGUCGCAAGACCAAAGUGGGGGACCUUCGGGCCUCAUGCCAUCAGAUGUGCCCAGAUGGGAUUAGCUAGUAGGUGGGGUAACGGCUCACCUAGGCGACGAUCCCUAGCUGGUCUGAGAGGAUGACCAGCCACACUGGAACUGAGACACGGUCCAGACUCCUACGGGAGGCAGCAGUGGGGAAUAUUGCACAAUGGGCGCAAGCCUGAUGCAGCCAUGCCGCGUGUGUGAAGAAGGCCUUCGGGUUGUAAAGCACUUUCAGCGGGGAGGAAGGCGGUGAGGUUAAUAACCUUGUCGAUUGACGUUACCCGCAGAAGAAGCACCGGCUAACUCCGUGCCAGCAGCCGCGGUAAUACGGAGGGUGCAAGCGUUAAUCGGAAUUACUGGGCGUAAAGCGCACGCAGGCGGUCUGUCAAGUCGGAUGUGAAAUCCCCGGGCUCAACCUGGGAACUGCAUUCGAAACUGGCAGGCUAGAGUCUUGUAGAGGGGGGUAGAAUUCCAGGUGUAGCGGUGAAAUGCGUAGAGAUCUGGAGGAAUACCGGUGGCGAAGGCGGCCCCCUGGACAAAGACUGACGCUCAGGUGCGAAAGCGUGGGGAGCAAACAGGAUUAGAUACCCUGGUAGUCCACGCCGUAAACGAUGUCGAUUUGGAGGUUGUGCCCUUGAGGCGUGGCUUCCGGAGCUAACGCGUUAAAUCGACCGCCUGGGGAGUACGGCCGCAAGGUUAAAACUCAAAUGAAUUGACGGGGGCCCGCACAAGCGGUGGAGCAUGUGGUUUAAUUCGAUGCAACGCGAAGAACCUUACCUGGUCUUGACAUCCACAGAACUUUCCAGAGAUGGAUUGGUGCCUUCGGGAACUGUGAGACAGGUGCUGCAUGGCUGUCGUCAGCUCGUGUUGUGAAAUGUUGGGUUAAGUCCCGCAACGAGCGCAACCCUUAUCCUUUGUUGCCAGCGGUUAGGCCGGGAACUCAAAGGAGACUGCCAGUGAUAAACUGGAGGAAGGUGGGGAUGACGUCAAGUCAUCAUGGCCCUUACGACCAGGGCUACACACGUGCUACAAUGGCAUAUACAAAGAGAAGCGACCUCGCGAGAGCAAGCGGACCUCAUAAAGUAUGUCGUAGUCCGGAUUGGAGUCUGCAACUCGACUCCAUGAAGUCGGAAUCGCUAGUAAUCGUAGAUCAGAAUGCUACGGUGAAUACGUUCCCGGGCCUUGUACACACCGCCCGUCACACCAUGGGAGUGGGUUGCAAAAGAAGUAGGUAGCUUAACCUUCGGGAGGGCGCUACC
Molecule: ribosomal RNA, 1414 nt
Filed under: Klebsiella sp. MLB25
Lineage: Bacteria; Pseudomonadati; Pseudomonadota; Gammaproteobacteria; Enterobacterales; Enterobacteriaceae
Description: 16S ribosomal RNA
Rfam family: Bacterial small subunit ribosomal RNA
Source: RNAcentral